UACGGAGGAUCCAAGCGUUAUCCGGAUUUAUUGGGUUUAAAGGGUGCGUAGGCGGGAGAUUAAGUCGGUGGUGAAAUUUUGCAGCUCAACUGUAAAAGUGCCAUUGAUACUGGUUUCCUUGAGUGUGGAUGAAGUAGGCGGAAUUUGUGGUGUAGCGGUGAAAUGCAUAGAUAUCACGAGGAACUCCGAUUGCGUAGGCAGCUUACUAAACCAUAACUGACGCUCAUGCACGAAGGCGUGGGGAUCAAACAGGAUUAGAUACCCCGGUA
This 269-nucleotide ribosomal RNA is filed under the name uncultured prokaryote. RNAcentral's name for it is "partial 16S ribosomal RNA". It matches the Rfam family "Bacterial small subunit ribosomal RNA", at positions 524 to 792 of the family's 1533-position model. The record is from RNAcentral.